RNAcentral lists this ribosomal RNA (425 nucleotides) under uncultured bacterium. RNAcentral describes it as "bacterial SSU rRNA". It matches the Rfam family "Bacterial small subunit ribosomal RNA", at positions 355 to 774 of the family's 1533-position model. The record is from RNAcentral.
UGGGGAAUCAUGGUCAAUGGGCGAAAGCCUGAACCUGCGACGCCGCGUGAGUGAUGAAGGUCGUAAGAUCGUAAAACUCUUUUCAGGGAUCUUAAAGCACAACCGUCAACAACGGCUGUGUGUGACUCUCCCUGGAAGAAGCCCCAGCCAACUACGUGCCAGCAGCCGCGGUAAUACGAAGGGUGCAAGCGUUACUCGGAAUUACUGGGCGUAAAGCGUGCGUAGGUGGUUGUUUAAGUCUGAUGUGAAAGCCCUGGGCUCAACCUGGGAAUGGCAUUGGAAACUGGGCAGCUAGAGUGCGGUAGAGGGUAGUGGAAUUCCCGGUGUAGCAGUGAAAUGCGUAGAGAUCGGGAGGGACAUCUGUGGCGAAGGCGACUGCCUGGACCAGCACUGACACUGAGGCACGAAAGCGUGGGGAGCAAACA